UAGGGAAUCUUCCGCAAUGGACGCAAGUCUGACGGAGCAACGCCGCGUGAGUGAAGAAGGAUUUCGGUUCGUAAAACUCUGUUGUUAGAGAAGAACAGCGCAUAGAGUAACUGUUAUGCGUGUGACGGUAUCUAACCAGAAAGCCACGGCUAACUACGUGCCAGCAGCCGCGGUAAUACGUAGGUUGCAAGCGUUGUCCGGUUUUAUUGGGCGUAAAGCUAGCGCAGGCGGUCAAUUAAGUCUGAUGUGAAAGCCCCCGGCUCAACCGGGGAGGGUCAUUGGAAACUGGUUGACUUGAGCGCAGAAGAGGAGAGUGGAAUUCCAUGUGUAGCGGUGAAAUGCGUAGAUAUAUGGAGGAACACCGGUGGCGAAAGCGGCUCUCUGGUCUGUAACUGACGCUGAGGCUCGAAAGCGUGGGGAGCGAACAGG
RNAcentral lists this ribosomal RNA (429 nucleotides) under Bacteroidota bacterium. RNAcentral describes it as "Bacteroidetes bacterium partial 16S ribosomal RNA". It matches the Rfam family "Bacterial small subunit ribosomal RNA", at positions 355 to 776 of the family's 1533-position model. The record is from RNAcentral. Lineage: Bacteria; Pseudomonadati; Bacteroidota.